RNAcentral lists this small RNA (127 nucleotides) under Marmota monax (woodchuck). The record is from RNAcentral. Lineage: Eukaryota; Metazoa; Chordata; Mammalia; Rodentia; Sciuridae.
GUCAGGUAUGGUGGUGCAUGCCUGUAAUCCCAACAGCUUGGGAGGCAAAGGCAGGAGGAUUGUGAGUUCAAAGCCAGCCUCAGUAAUUUUGCAAGGCACUUAGCAACUCAGUGAGACCCUGUCUCUA